This 253-nucleotide ribosomal RNA is filed under the name uncultured bacterium. RNAcentral's name for it is "partial 16S ribosomal RNA". It matches the Rfam family "Bacterial small subunit ribosomal RNA", at positions 524 to 776 of the family's 1533-position model. The record is from RNAcentral.
UACGAAGGGGGCUAGCGUUGCUCGGAAUUACUGGGCGUAAAGGGAGCGUAGGCGGACAUUUAAGUCAGAGGUGAAAUCCCGGAGCUUAACUUCGGAACUGCCUUUGAUACUGGAUGUCUUGAGUGUGAGAGAGGUAUGUGGAACUCCGAGUGUAGAGGUGAAAUUCGUAGAUAUUCGGAAGAACACCAGUGGCGAAGGCGACAUACUGGCUCAUUACUGACGCUGAGGUGCGAAAGCGUGGGGAGCAAACGGG